RNAcentral lists this ribosomal RNA (806 nucleotides) under Verrucosispora sp. Its description in RNAcentral is "bacterial SSU rRNA". It matches the Rfam family "Bacterial small subunit ribosomal RNA", at positions 53 to 881 of the family's 1533-position model. Lineage: Bacteria; Bacillati; Actinomycetota; Actinomycetes; Micromonosporales; Micromonosporaceae. The record is from RNAcentral.
ACGAUGCGGCUCAAUCGUACGGCGCUUCCGGGUACUCGAGCGGCGAACGGGUGAGUAACACGUGAGCAACCUGCCCCAGGCUUUGGGAUAACCCUCGGAAACGGGGGCUAAUACCGAAUAUGACUUCUGGCCGCAUGGCUGGGGGUGGAAAGUUUUUCGGCUUGGGAUGGGCUCGCGGCCUAUCAGCUUGUUGGUGGGGUAAUGGCCUACCAAGGCGACGACGGGUAGCCGGCCUGAGAGGGCGACCGGCCACACUGGGACUGAGACACGGCCCAGACUCCUACGGGAGGCAGCAGUGGGGAAUAUUGCACAAUGGGCGGAAGCCUGAUGCAGCGACGCCGCGUGAGGGAUGACGGCCUUCGGGUUGUAAACCUCUUUCAGCAGGGACGAAGCGAGAGUGACGGUACCUGCAGAAGAAGCACCGGCCAACUACGUGCCAGCAGCCGCGGUAAGACGUAGGGUGCGAGCGUUGUCCGGAUUUAUUGGGCGUAAAGAGCUCGUAGGCGGCUUGUCGCGUCGACUGUGAAAACCCGCGGCUCAACCGCGGGCCUGCAGUCGAUACGGGCAGGCUAGAGUUCGGUAGGGGAGACUGGAAUUCCUGGUGUAGCGGUGAAAUGCGCAGAUAUCAGAGGAACACCGGUGGCGAAGCGGGUCUCUGGGCCGAUACUGACGCUGAGGAGCGAAAGCGUGGGGAGCGAACAGGAUUAGAUACCCUGGUAGUCCACGCUGUAAACGUUGGGCGCUAGGUGGUGGGGGGCUCUCGGUUCCCUGUGCGCAGCUACGCAUAAGCGCCCCCGCUGGGGAGU